This 1229-nucleotide long non-coding RNA is filed under the name Pogona vitticeps (central bearded dragon). RNAcentral describes it as "lncRNA (ENSPVIG00000020304.1)". Lineage: Eukaryota; Metazoa; Chordata; Lepidosauria; Squamata; Agamidae. The record is from RNAcentral.
UUCCAUUGUCCUCUCAGAACAGAAUGGACCAACUGAAAACAAGAAUAUAUAACUUCUGAUUUUCAGCACCAGCUGUAUUGAGGGAAAGAUGCCUGAACCAUGGGAUGCCUCACCAGCUAACAAGGCGUCACAGGGGGCAAUGAGGAAGUUUGCAAGACACCUUGAGUGCUACGUUGUAAUGGAAAGGCAUAGCAGAUACUACAAGCAGGUAGGAGAAAAGAUUAUAUGAUUUGUAUCAUGGCCCCACCAGAAGACUUCUCCAGUGAGGUCUGAGCAUUCUGAAUCCCUGCAGAAGAUCUGGCUGGCUGUGCAAACCUAGAGCUCCAUUCCUUACAGAGGCAGCAUAGUCACAUUAGGAAGAGAAGAAAAGGCUGAAACUCUUCCCUAUCUGUGACAACAAUACCAAAUGAAGGCAUAUCAUUUGUGCAAGCUUGUCAGGAGAAAGACCUUCCAUGUAGGCAAGGUGUUUCUUCUAGGGUGGAAUUCUUCUCCAAGAGAAAAUAGCUGCUCAAAUGCCUACAGAUGAACUCCGGGAGUGGUAGAAGCAGCCCAGAAAUAUAAUCAACAGACCUAGGACAAUGGGACUGGUGGAAACAACGUGUGUGAAGAACACAUGAUUUGGUAGAGGUAGUUGUUGUGCUAGCAUAUCAGGUAAAACAAAGAAAAAGAAAAAAUAGAGAAGAUGGAAAAUUUUGUGGCACUUUAAAGACUAACUACUAUAUUGUGUCAACUUUCCCCACAUCCUUUGGCUUUGCUUUUGAGUGGACUGAUGGCUCCUGAUCGAUCUUGAAAUGUGUUUCAUACAGGUUUUGGACUAUCCUUUUCUGGUUACUCCUUGAAAUUGACCUGUUUGGCAUUCUCAGUUGUUACUAAGGUGGACUUAUUGUCUGAACAAGAGAAGACCUUGCCUGAAAUUUCAGAGUGAGGAGCUCCCUCUACUCAGACCAAAGGUCACUUAUAAUUGCUGGUUGACCCUCUGUUAGACAAUCCUUAUCUGAUUUAUCUGCUUACCGUUUGGACUCAGGUUGUUCACUCCAACAGGCAUGGAGCUGUCGUGAUGGGGACACUUUGCCCCCUCCACCUGGAGAUUGGCGUCACAGCAUGAUGACACUGCUCUCAGGAAGGGGAGGAGGGACAGAACCUUUAAGGCACAGUAUCCCUGUUGCCCGGCCUCUUCUCCAAUCGACUGAGCAAGAAGGAAGCCGCGCUGCUCUGUCUGAGUAGUUUUG